RNAcentral lists this ribosomal RNA (1053 nucleotides) under uncultured bacterium. RNAcentral describes it as "bacterial SSU rRNA". It matches the Rfam family "Bacterial small subunit ribosomal RNA", at positions 301 to 1354 of the family's 1533-position model. The record is from RNAcentral.
UGAUCGGCACACUGAACUGAGACACGUCCAGACUCCUACGGAGCAGCAGUAGGAAUCUCCGCAAUGGACGAAAGUCUGACGAGCAACGCCGCGUGAGUGAUGAAGGUUUCGGAUCGUAAAACUCUGUUAUUAGGGAAGAACAAAUGUGUAAGUAACUGUGCACAUCUUGACGGUACCUAAUCAGAAAGCCACGGCUAACUACGUGCCAGCAGCCGCGGUAAUACGUAGGUGGCAAGCGUUAUCCGGAAUUAUUGGGCGUAAAGCGCGCGUAGGCGGUUUCUUAAGUCCGAUGUGAAAGCCCACGGCUCAACCGUGGAGGGUCAUUGGAAACUGGGAAACUUGAGUACAGAAGAGGAAAGUGGAAUUCCAUGUGUAGCGGUGAAAUGCGCAGAGAUAUGGAGGAACACCAGUGGCGAAGGCGACUUUCUGGUCUGUAACUGACGCUGAUGUGCGAAAGCGUGGGGAUCAAACAGGAUUAGAUACCCUGGUAGUCCACGCCGUAAACGAUGAGUGCUAAGUGUUAGGGGGUUUCCGCCCCUUAGUGCUGCAGCUAACGCAUUAAGCACUCCGCCUGGGGAGUACGACCGCAAGGUUGAAACUCAAAGGGAUUGACGGGGACCCGCACAAGCGGUGGAGCAUGUGGUUUAAUUCGAAGCAACGCGAAGAACCUUACCAAAUCUUGACAUCCUUUGAAAACUCUAGAGAUAGAGCCUUCCCCUUCGGGGGACAAAGUGACAGGUGGUGCAUGGUUGUCGUCAGCUCGUGUCGUGAGAUGUUGGGUUAAGUCCCGCAACGAGCGCAACCCUUAAACUUAGUUGCCAGCAUUUAGUUGGGCACUCUAGGUUGACUGCCGGUGACAAACCGGAGGAAGGUGGGGAUGACGUCAAAUCAUCAUGCCCCUUAUGAUUUGGGCUACACACGUGCUACAAUGGACAAUACAAAGGGCAGCUAAACCGCGAGGUCAUGCAAAUCCCAUAAAGUUGUUCUCAGUUCGGAUUGUAGUCUGCAACUCGACUACAUGAAGCUGGAAUCGCUAGUAAUCGUAGAUCAGCU